AGUGAACGCUGGCGGUAGGCCUAACACAUGCAAGUCGAACGGCAGCACAGAGGAGCUUGCUCCUUGGGUGGCGAGUGGCGGACGGGCGAGGAAUACAUCGGAAUCUACUCUGUCGUGGGGGAUAACGUAGGGAAACUUACGCUAAUACCGCAUAUGACCUACGGGUGAAAGCAGGGGAUCUCCGGACCUUGCGCGAUUGAAUGAGCCGAUGUCGGAUUAGCGAGUUGGCGGGGUAAAGGCCCACCAAGGCGACGAUCCGUAGCUGGUCUGAGAGGAUGAUCAGCCACACUGGAACUGAGACACGGUCCAGACUCCUACGGGAGGCAGCAGUGGGGAAUAUUGGACAAUGGGCGCAAGCCUGAUCCAGCCAUACCGCGUGGGUGAAGAAGGCCUUCGGGUUGUAAAGCCCUUUUGUUGGGAAAGAAAUCCAUCUGGUUAAUACCCGGGUGGGAUGACGGUACCCAAAGAAUAAGCACCGGCUAACUUCGUGCCAGCCGCCGCCGUAA
RNAcentral lists this ribosomal RNA (506 nucleotides) under uncultured bacterium. RNAcentral's name for it is "partial 16S ribosomal RNA". It matches the Rfam family "Bacterial small subunit ribosomal RNA", at positions 29 to 523 of the family's 1533-position model. The record is from RNAcentral.